Molecule: non-coding RNA, 280 nt
Organism: Pelobates cultripes (western spadefoot toad)
Lineage: Eukaryota; Metazoa; Chordata; Amphibia; Anura; Pelobatidae
Source: the annotation of a GenBank genome assembly
CUUCCUCAUCAACUGGGAGAAGUCGAUCUUAGAACCAACACAGGACAUAGAAUUUUUAGGCUUUCAAGUCAAUUCCAUUCAACAGACCCACUGCCUUCUGGAAGACAAGUUCAAGACCAUAAAAAAGGAGAUCAGAUGAAUCUUACGAGCUCCAGACUUCUCAAUACGACAACUGGCACGAAUCAUAGGUCUGCUCGCCUCAUCCAUCCAGGUGAUAUUUCCAGGCCCGCUGCACUACCAGGUGUUACACAGACUCAAAGGCUCCUAUCUCCGUGCUGGC